This 272-nucleotide ribosomal RNA is filed under the name uncultured bacterium. RNAcentral describes it as "partial 16S ribosomal RNA". It matches the Rfam family "Bacterial small subunit ribosomal RNA", at positions 524 to 789 of the family's 1533-position model. The record is from RNAcentral.
UACGUAGGGUGCAAGCGUUAAUCGGAAUUACUGGGCGUAAAGCGUGCGCAGGCGGUUUUGUAAGCCAGAUGUGAAAAGCCCCGGGCGUCAACCUGGGAACGUGCGUUUGGUAACUACAAGACUAGAGUGUGUCAGAGGGGGGUAGGAAUUCCACGUGUAGCAGUGAAAUGCGUAGAUAUGUGGAGGAAUACCAAUGGCGAAGGCAGCCCCUCGGGUUAAGACUGACGCUCAUGCACGAAAGCGUGGGGAGGCAAACAGGAUUAGAAACCCCA